RNAcentral lists this ribosomal RNA (216 nucleotides) under Glomeromycotina sp. Its description in RNAcentral is "partial small subunit ribosomal RNA". The stretch from base 40 to 216 matches the Rfam family "Eukaryotic small subunit ribosomal RNA", at positions 686 to 864 of the family's 1831-position model. Lineage: Eukaryota; Fungi; Glomeromycota. The record is from RNAcentral.
GGGUCAGUAGGCUGGUCGUGCCACCGGUACGUACUGGACUCACUGAUUCCUCCUUCCUGAAGAACCGUAAUGCCAUUAAUUUGGUGUUGCGGGGAAACUGGACUGUUACUUUGAAAAAAAUAGAGUGUUUAAAGCAAGCUAACGCUUGAAUACAUUAGCAUGGAAUAAUGAAAUAGGACGAUCGAUCCUAUUUUGUUGGUUUCUAGGAUUGACGUA